UAGAUAUAUAUAUAUAUAUACAUAUAUAUAUAUAUAAUCUGUACAAGAGAAGGGGAAGAGGAAUGGGGGGGUAGGAAAUGUAUGGGGGUGGUCAGGAUUGGGACAAGGAGUUCGUAGUAGACCUUUCAGGGAAUAGUUUUUGAAAUUUUUUUCGUUUAUUUAUUCUUUUGUAUUACACAGCAGUGUUGCAGCAGAGGAACAGCGGACUGCAGCAGUGGAGAAAAGACAAAAAAAAAAAAAAAAGAAAAAAAGGGAAAAACAAAAAAAAAAAAUGAUGGAGUGGAGGGGGGUGGGGUUAAAAAAAACAUAGGAGGGCAAAGGAUCAAAGGUGGAAAAUUAAUUGUAAUUUCUUACAAUGGCAUAAAACCUCAAAUUUUUACUUAUUUAUUAUUCUUUUCUUUUUUUUGUUGUUGUUGGGUUGGAAAGAUCACAGUCGAUUAAAUCAACCACUGCAGUUCGUUAACUGGUACUUAAUUAUUUGUCAACCUGCCUGUUACCCAGAAAGGAUGAAAAAUAAAUUUAAAAAAAAAAAGGGGGUGAAGAAAAAAAAACUGACCUUGGUUGGAUUAGAACUCAAAAACGUAACACCACGAGGCACUUUAUCCAACUGUCAACACACUGUCAAUUCUGCUACCCCAUCAACCCACAUAAUCUGCCAGCUUGCCACUUCAUCAUCAUCAUCAUCGUUUAACGUCCGCUUUCCAUGCUAGCAUGGGUUGGACGAUUUUGACUGAGGGCUGGGGAAACCAGAUGGCUGCACCAGACUCCAAUCUUGAUUUGGCAGAGUUUCUACAGCUGGAUGCCCUUCCGAAUGCCAACCAUUCCGAGAGUGUAGUGGAUGCUUUUUACGUGCCACCGGCACGGGGGCCAGUCAGGCAGUACUGGCAUGACCUCGCUUGAAUCUUUUUACACAUGCCACCAACACAGGUGCCAGAAGGCGACGUUGGUAACGAUCACGCUCGAAUGGUGCCCUUUUACAUGCCAUGGCAUGGGGGCAAGUCAGGCAGUACUGGCAAUGACCUCGCUUGGUUUCAAAUCUUGGCACAAGGCCAGCAAUUUUCAAGGGGCGGGGGGUAACUUGAUUACAUCAACCUUAAUUCUCAACUAGUACUUACUUCACCGACCCCCAAAAGGAUGAAAGGCAAAUCUGACCUCGGUGGAAUUUGAACUCAGAACACAGAGACAGACAAAAUACAAGGCUAAGCACUGCCAACAUUAAUAAUAAUCUUUUCUACUAUAGGCACACGGCCUGGAUUUUGUGGGGAGGGGGACAGUUGAUCACAUCGACCCCAAUACUCAGCUGGUACUUAAUUUAUCGACCCUGAAAGUAUGAAAGGCAAAGUUGACUUUGCUGAAAUUUGAACUCAGAAUGUAGUGACAUACGAAAUACCGUUAAGCAUUUCAUCCAGCGUGCUAACGAUUCUGCCAGCUCGCUGCCUUAAUAAUAAUAAUAAUAAUGAUGACGAUGAUAAUAAUAAUAAUCCUUUCUACUAUAGGCACAAGGCCUGAAAUUUGGGGGAGGGGUAAAUUGAUUAUAUUGACCGCAGUACUCAAAUGGUACUUAAUUUAUUGACCCCGAAAGGAUAAAAGGCAAAGUCAACCUCAGCAGAAUUUGAACUCACAACGUAGCGGUGAGCAGAAUACUGCUAAGCCUUUAGCCUGGCAUGCUAACAGAUCUGCCAUCUCACCACCUUAAUAAUAAUAAUAAUAAUAAUAAUAAUAAUAAUGAUGAUUUCAAAUUUUAGCAUAAGGCCUGAAACUUUGAAGAAGGAAGCUAGUCAAUUACAUCAACCCCAGCACAUAACUGGUAUUUAUUUUAUUGACCCUGAAAUGAGGAAAGGCAAAGUCAACCUUGGCAGAAUUUGAACUCAGAACAUCAAGACUGGCAACAUGUCACAAAGCAUUUUGCGCAGUGCAGUAACAAUUCAGUGAAUUUGCCACCUUAGUGUAUUCUGGAUUAUUCCAACCUGUUUUGGUCCAUUCCAGUUUCAUCUAGUUUGCUCCAGUUCUGAUUUAGGGUUUUCUAGUUCAUUCCAAUCUACCCAGGUAUGUUCAGGUUUAUUCUUGUAUGUUCCAGUUUAUUGUGGGAUGUUCAGGUUUAUUGUGGUAUGUUCUGGUGUGCUCUGGUAUGACCAGCUACAGCUAGGCAGGCAUAGCCAUGUGGUUAAGAAGCUCACUUUGCAAACCAUGUGAAUUCAGGUUCAAUCCUACAGCACGGCACCUUGGGUGUGUCUUCUACUACAGCCCCUGGCCAACCAAUGCCUUGUGAGUGAAGCCGAGAUGGAAACUGUGUGGGAGUCUGUCACAUAUAUAUAUAUAUAUAUAUAGAUAUGUAAAUAUACAUGGCUGUGGCCAUACUGGAGCAUUGCUGGUGCUCCAGCAUUGUUAAAACCUUUGGGCUCUUUCAAUCACAUCUGGGUUCAGUCCCACUGUGUGGCACCUUGGGCAAAUGUCUUCUACUGUAGCAUCGGGAGUAGAUUUGGUAAACGGAAACUGAAAGAAGCCCAUCAUAUAAAUAUAUAUGCAUGUAUGUAUAUAUGUCUCUGUUUGUCCCCCCACCAACCAUUGCUUGACAAUGUUGGUGUGUUUAUGUCCUUGUAACUUAGCAGUUCAACUACAGAGACCAAUAGAAAAAGUACUAGGCUUUAUAAAAAAAUAAGUCCUGGAGUCAAUUUAUUUGACUAAAACCCUUCAAGGCAGUGCCCCAGCAUGGCCACAGCCAACUGACUAAAACAAGUAAAAGAAUAUAUAUAUAUGUAUAGGAGUGGCUGUGUGGUAAGAAGCUUGCUUCCCAACCACAUGGCUCUGGGUUCAAUCCCACUGCGUGUGACCUUGAGCAAGUGUUUUCUACUAUAACCUCAGGCCAACCAAAGCCUUGUGAGCGGAUUUGGUAGAUGGAAACUGAAAGAAGCCCGUUGUAUAUAUAUAUAUGUGUGUGUGUGUGUACGUGUUUGUGUGUCUGUGUUUGUCGCCCAAACAUCGCUUGACAACCGAUGCUGGUGUGUUUACGUUCCCGUCACUCAGCAGUUCAGCAAAAGAGACCGACAGAAUAAGUACUAGGCUGACAAAAAAUAAGUCCUGGGGUCAAUCUGCUCGACUAUAAAGGUGGUGCUCCAGCAUGGCCACAGUCAAAUGACUGAAACAAGUAAAAGAGUAAUCCAAUAUGUUACAGACAUAACCAGAUUUAAUCCGACCUGUUCCAAUGUUUUCCAGUUUAAUCUAGUCUGACCCACUGUAUACUAAUUUAAACCAGCCUGCUUCAGUGUAUUCUAAUUUAAUCCGGUUUCUUCCAGUUGAAACCAGUCUGAACAAAUGUAUAUAUAUUCUAAUUUCAACCCUUGAACAUUCAGAUUAUCAAAUGGAUAUAUAUUUAUUCACACUGCUUUGAAUUAACCAUGGAUUAUCUCAUAGCUUUGAUAUUUCGAUGAUGGGAUUGUUUAUUUUUAGAAUGGCAUUAUAUGGAAGGUAAGAAAAGCCAGAUCUGGUCAGUUCGAACCUACAACAGUGAGAAACAGGGGCUGGACAUGACCAGUUUAACCCUUACAGAUUCAGAUUGCUCAGUGAAAUGUAAUGCUUAUUUAUAUGUAUUGUUUUGAAUUAAUCAAGCAUUAUCUCACAGCUCUGAGAUUUCAAUGAUGGGAUUGUUUAUUUUUAGAAUGACACUGCAGGGUAGGUAUGAGGGGCCUGACCUAGUUCUUUUGAACUUAAAACAGAUAGCUUCAGUCUCUGGUUGAAACCAAUAAAAUAUAUAUAAAAGAUAUAUGUAGGUAGGGGCGCUCCGAAAGGGGUCUCAGGGAGUAGUACCCAUGCCUUCUUGAGCUAAUUUUCCACCAUAUUUCUUUAAAAUCGUGGUAGAGGCCUUGAUCUCGGGACCACUUGUGUCUAGAAACUGAGGUUGAGGGUAAGCAAGGGCAUGCUCCCUGUAGAAAAUCCAGCUCCAAAAAAGCCACAUGAUAGCAAAGGAGAAUGGGCACCAGCCAGCCCAAAGGUUGGGGUGGGCUGCACCUACCUGCUUCAGUUGCUAUGGCAUUUGAGGUAGAUCUGGCCACCCCCGUUCACGGGGACAAAACCUGGAUUUAAAACACUGAAUGAUGAUGAUGACGCCGAUGCAUACGUGUGUGUUUGUGUGUCCUCAUCUUGGUAUAUGAUAAUCGUAAACGAGUGUCACUGUCAUACAAGCAGUGUCGUUUGUUUCCAAUAUUCUCCAAAGACAUAUCUAGCCACGGCGGGGAAUAUUACCUGGUUUGCAAACAGGUGAAAGGUUGAUGACAGGGAAGGCAUCCAGCUGUAGGAAAAUUUGCCUCGGCAACUUCCAUACGACCCAUGAAAGCAUAGAAAAGCUGAUAUCAAAUAAACAAUGGUGAUAUCCAUCAGUUCCAACGAUGACUGUUCAGUGAUUUGAUUAACUGAUUGACAUAUUCAUCGUAUGAAAAUCUAAGUGGCUGAGUAUACCUAGGUCUUUUACAGAUGGUUAUAAAUCCACCUGGCACCGUACUCCAUCGCUAACACCAGCCAUUUAAGCCUUUUAUCUGAGUUUUCACUCUGAAGACUAGGGUCAAUCGAUGAUUAAAUAUUAAUUUG
Molecule: long non-coding RNA, 4581 nt
Filed under: Octopus vulgaris (common octopus)
Lineage: Eukaryota; Metazoa; Mollusca; Cephalopoda; Octopoda; Octopodidae
Source: RNAcentral